Molecule: ribosomal RNA, 410 nt
Filed under: uncultured bacterium
Lineage: Bacteria
Description: bacterial SSU rRNA
Rfam family: Bacterial small subunit ribosomal RNA
Source: RNAcentral
AAUGGGGGAAACCCUGAUGCAGCCAUGCCGCGUGUGUGAAGAAGGCCUUCGGGUUGUAAAGCACUUUCAGUGGGGAGGAAGGGCUGAUGACUAAUAUUCAUCAGCAUUGACGUUACCCACAGAAGAAGCACCGGCUAACUCCGUGCCAGCAGCCGCGGUAAUACGGAGGGUGCAAGCGUUAAUCGGAAUAACUGGGCGUAAAGCGCACGCAGGCGGUUAGAUAAGUCAGAUGUGAAAGCCCCGGGCUCAACCUGGGAACUGCAUUUGAAACUGUCUGACUAGAGUCUUGUAGAGGGGGGUAGAAUUCCAGGUGUAGCGGUGAAAUGCGUAGAGAUCUGGAGGAAUACCGGUGGCGAAGGCGGCCCCCUGGACAAAGACUGACGCUCAGGUGCGAAAGCGUGGGGAGCAAA